Molecule: long non-coding RNA, 1734 nt
Organism: Pipistrellus kuhlii (Kuhl's pipistrelle)
Lineage: Eukaryota; Metazoa; Chordata; Mammalia; Chiroptera; Vespertilionidae
Exons: 3
Source: RefSeq, a predicted model, not a curated record
UUCUCGAUGCUCUCAAUAUGAAACCAUUCAGUGUUGAAAAGUGACUGUUGUUAAGGAAUCAUGUAAAAAAAGUAAAUGUCACAAAAUUUAAUCUAAUUCUUUUAACAUAAAGAGGCUGCAGACUGUGUAUACUAAGGGACACCCCUCCCCCACGUGUCACCCAGCUCUUCAUUCACAAGCACUUCCUUUCUUGAUUUGAUACACACACGCUUUCCCAAGAACCUGUAGUAACGCUAAAAUGACCCAAAAAAACAUUUCCCACCUGUCACUUGAAAUAAUUGUACCCAACUGUUUCCAUGACUGGGUUUUUUAAAAUCUGUUAUUUUUAUCGCCUGGCAAUAAAAACUGUCCUAGUGUGAUUGUUUUCGUUUAAAAUAAAAGUCGUGUGUCUUUUCAUGGGCUCUGCCUCCCAAUCUGAACACAAAAAAGAGAAUGACAUUUUUUUAAAAAUCAGCAAAGUAACAGUUCUUUCUCAGGAUGCACUUUCCCAUUCGGGCAGCCCUCCCAGAGGCAAGGAAAGCAACUCGGAGGAAGCCACUAGGCCCCUGGGUCUCCCACCAGCCGCCCCGACACACCGGUGCGGGCCUGCGGGGACCUGUGAACGGUGCGCGUCUACGCGGGGGUCCCAGGGCCUCGGAGGCCAGCACAAUGGCAGGAUGAUGGACGCAGGGCGUCCAGGAAGAGGAGGCAGGAGAGGAAACAGAUGGCGGGGCCCGGGCUGCGAACCCCACUGCGAGUCCCUCCAAGUGUCACAGCCCGGGUGUCACAGCCAUCACCCCGUCCCCCCGGCCGGGCCUGCGCGCAUAGAGCCAGCGGCCGGGGCCAUGGCACGGGGUCGGGUGGGCUGCGUCCUCGCCGGAGUCGCCCCAAGGCAAAAUGAAAUGAAAGUUGGGCCACUCUUCCUCAUGGACUGCAGAAUACGGUUCAAUAAGAAAAGUUAAAUCUCUUUCUGGUUGCUGCCGUUACUCCUUAUCUUCUGAGCUGUGACCGUGUACUUAGCACUGCACAAAACCGGCACAUCCCCUUUCCAUGGCUCAUGCUGUGAAACCACCGAAGCAGUAGGAUCGAUGAAGUCAGGAGUUUUGAAGGUAACACUUUUAGGUAUUUUAGUUCACAGGUAUCUUAAUGUGUGUUGAUGUAUAAGCUAUAAAACGGAGUGCAGGUUAAAUAUUUGAGAAAUAAACGCUGCGCUAGGUGGCACUAUUUGGUAAUAUGCUACUUAGGUUGAACUUGACUGGUUAAUGAUUUUCAUACACUUUGCUGUAUUCCAGUAAUUGUUCUGCAAAUAGAAAAUCUAUUAAGUAUUUUAUGAGUAUUAAGGUAAUUUAUUCUUUGAAUGAAAAAAUUGAAAAAUACCAAAAAAAUUAUCUAUAAUUCUGUUUAGCUAUCUUACAAAUGUGGUGUGUUUUUUGUUUGUUUUGUUUUGUUUUUCUCUCUGUGGUCCAGGAAGCUCUGAAUAAGGCAUACAUUUUGGAGCCAAACAAACCUGGUUUCAAAAUCCCCAUGUAGCUCAUGGGAAAAAAUCUUUAUUUCCUUAGUUCUGUUUUUUUAAAUCUCAACUUCUGCCUCCAGCCAUCAUUCCUUUCUUUCAGAAAGCUGCGCAUUGUCUUUCCUUUAUGAUCUUCAUUGCACUCCUCCACCCACUGUAAUCCGCCUUCUGUCCCCUUAGUCCAGAAAUGACUCUUCUUCAAGUGGCUCAUGCCCCGUUUGUUGCCAGAUCCAGGGCCCACUCUC